Molecule: ribosomal RNA, 468 nt
Filed under: uncultured bacterium
Lineage: Bacteria
Description: partial 16S ribosomal RNA
Rfam family: Bacterial small subunit ribosomal RNA
Source: RNAcentral
GACGAACGCUGGCGGCGUGCUUAACACAUGCAAGUCGAACGGAAAGGCCCUGCUUUUGUGGGGUGCUCGAGUGGCGAACGGGUGAGUAACACGUGAGUAACCUGCCCUUGACUUUGGGAUAACUUCAGGAAACUGGGGCUAAUACCGGAUAGGAGCUCCUGCUGCAUGGUGGGGGUUGGAAAGUUUCGGCGGUUGGGGAUGGACUCGCGGCUUAUCAGCUUGUUGGUGGGGUAGUGGCUUACCAAGGCUUUGACGGGUAGCCGGCCUGAGAGGGUGACCGGCCACACUGGGACUGAGAUACGGCCCAGACUCGUACGGGAGGCAGCAGUGGGGAAUAUUGCACAAUGGGCGGAAGCCUGAUGUAGCAACGCCGCGUGCGGGAUGACGGCCUUCGGGUUGUAAACCGAUUUCGCCUGUGACGAAGCGUGAGUGACGGUAAUGGGUAAAGAAGCACCGGCUAACUACGUG